UAGGGAAUAUUCCGCAAUGGGCGAAAGCCUGACGGAGCAACGCCGCGUGAGUGACGAAGGCUUUAGGGUCGUAAAGCUCUGUUGCAGGGGAAAAAGCAAGUGAUUGUACCCUGCGAGAAAGGACCGGCAAACUUCGUGCCAGCAGCCGCGGUAAUACGAGGGGUCCUAGCGUUGUUCGGAAUCAUUGGGCGUAGAGAGCACGUAGGUAGUCUAGUAAGUCAGGUGUGAAAUCCCAGGGCUUAACCCUGGAAGUGCACUUGAAACUGCAUGACUUGAGUACGGAAGAGGUAAGCGGAAUUCCUGGUGUAGUGGUGAAAUACGUAGAUAUCAGGAGGAACAUCGGUGGCGAAGGCGGCUUACUGGUCCUGUACUGACACUGAGGUGCGAAAGCAUGGGGAUCAAACAG
RNAcentral lists this ribosomal RNA (406 nucleotides) under uncultured bacterium. RNAcentral's name for it is "bacterial SSU rRNA". It matches the Rfam family "Bacterial small subunit ribosomal RNA", at positions 355 to 775 of the family's 1533-position model. The record is from RNAcentral.